This 84-nucleotide small nucleolar RNA is filed under the name Nelumbo nucifera (sacred lotus). RNAcentral's name for it is "Small nucleolar RNA snoR27". It matches the Rfam family "Small nucleolar RNA snoR27". Lineage: Eukaryota; Viridiplantae; Streptophyta; Magnoliopsida; Proteales; Nelumbonaceae. The record is from Rfam by way of RNAcentral.
CUCGGAUCUGUGAUGUGAAUAUAUUUACUGCGUUAUCUUCCUGCAAUUGCCUUGAAGAAAUCAUUGUCUACACUGAGAUCCGAA